AGAGUUUGAUCCUGGCUCAGGAUGAACGCUAGCUACAGGCUUAACACAUGCAAGUCGAGGGGCAGCAUGGUCUUAGCUUGCUAAGGCCGAUGGCGACCGGCGCACGGGUGAGUAACGCGUAUCCAACCUGCCUUACACUCUUGGACAGCCUUCUGAAAGGGAGAUUAAUACAAGAUGUUAUCAUGAGUAAGCAUUUUCGCAUGAUUAAAGGUUUACCGGUGUAAGAUGGGGAUGCGUUCCAUUAGAUAGUAGGCGGGUAACGGCCACCUAGUCUUCGAUGGAUAGGGGUUCUGAGAGGAAGGUCCCCCANAUUGGAACUGAGACACGGUCCAAACACCUACGGGAGCA
Molecule: ribosomal RNA, 348 nt
Filed under: uncultured bacterium
Lineage: Bacteria
Description: bacterial SSU rRNA
Rfam family: Bacterial small subunit ribosomal RNA
Source: RNAcentral